Molecule: ribosomal RNA, 254 nt
Filed under: uncultured bacterium
Lineage: Bacteria
Description: partial 16S ribosomal RNA
Rfam family: Bacterial small subunit ribosomal RNA
Source: RNAcentral
UACGUAGGGGGCAAGCGUUGUCCGGAUUUAUUGGGCGUAAAGAGCGUGUAGGCGGCCGUACAAGUCAGCUGUGAAAACUCGAGGCUCAACCUCGAGACGUCGGUUGAAAACCGUACGGCUAGAGUCCGGAAGAGGAGAGUGGAAUUCCCGGUGUAGCGGUGAAAUGCGCAGAUAUCGGGAGGAACACCGGUGGCGAAGGCGGGUUGCUGGGCUGACACUGACGCUGAACUGCGAAAGCUAGGGGAGCGAACGGG